Molecule: long non-coding RNA, 488 nt
Filed under: Mytilus galloprovincialis (Mediterranean mussel)
Lineage: Eukaryota; Metazoa; Mollusca; Bivalvia; Mytilida; Mytilidae
Source: RNAcentral
GUCAUCGACAAAAUUCAAUAAUAAUUAUUUUGUUAACAUUACUAAAAACGAGUCUGUACUGUCGCCGUUGUGUUAUGAUGAUCGUACACUGACGUUGGUCAAUAUAUUUUGACAAUAUAUACGGACAGACGGAUUCAUUUUGUUUCAAAGUGGGCGUAAUUCGAACAACUUUUACAUACCGCCGAGAGUAGUGAGUCGAACAAUAUUUUGAUUAUUUUUUGCUUUACAAAAUCGUUAAAUACAGGAAUCAAUAUAGUUUUGGCAACCAAAGGUGGGGUCGGGGCGUGCAACAUAUACGUCAUCUAGAUUCGCCACUUAUCUUAUAAAGUGUAUACCGAAUUAAAAUAUUGUAAGAAAUGAGAAAACAGGGACACCCGGGAAAUCUUUUGUUGUACUGUUUGUGUCAGCGACAACACUUCGACUCAGUCCAUUCCCGAAUCACACGCUUGUAAUUCCAUGGUUGUCUUUAGUUGCUUUAUACCACAUGC